Molecule: transfer RNA, 76 nt
Filed under: Clostridia bacterium
Lineage: Bacteria; Bacillati; Bacillota; Clostridia
Description: tRNA-Pro
Rfam family: tRNA
About the family: Transfer RNA (tRNA) molecules are approximately 80 nucleotides in length. Their secondary structure includes four short double-helical elements and three loops (D, anti-codon, and T loops).
Source: RNAcentral
CGAGGCGUAGCGCAGUUGGUAGCGCGUAUGGUUCGGGACCAUAAGGUCGUGGGUUCAAAUCCCGUCGCCUCAACCA